Molecule: ribosomal RNA, 245 nt
Filed under: uncultured bacterium
Lineage: Bacteria
Description: partial 16S ribosomal RNA
Rfam family: Bacterial small subunit ribosomal RNA
Source: RNAcentral
UACGUAGGGGGCAAGCGUUGUCCGGAAUUAUUGGGCGUAAAGGGCUCGUAGGCGGUUUCUUAAGUCUGAUGUGAAAGCCCACAGCUCAACUGUGGAGGGUCAUUGGAAACUGGGGAACUUGAGUGCAGAAGAGGAGAGUGGAAUUCCACGUGUAGCGGUGAAAUGCGUAGAUAUGUGGAGGAACACCAGUGGCGAAGGCGACUCUCUGGUCUGUAACUGACGCUGAGGAGCGAAAGCGUGGGGAG